RNAcentral lists this ribosomal RNA (233 nucleotides) under uncultured bacterium. RNAcentral describes it as "partial 16S ribosomal RNA". It matches the Rfam family "Bacterial small subunit ribosomal RNA", at positions 118 to 347 of the family's 1533-position model. The record is from RNAcentral.
UGAGUAACCUGCCCUUAACUCUGGGAUAAGCCUGGGAAAACUGGGUCUAAUACCGGAUAUGACUCCUCAUCGCAUGGUGGGGGGUGGAAAGCUUUUUGUGGUUUUGGAUGGACUCGCGGCCUAUCAGCUUGUUGGUGAGGUAAUGGCUCACCAAGGCGACGACGGGUAGCCGGCCUGAGAGGGUGACCGGCCACACUGUGACUGAGACACGGCCCAGACUCCUACGGGAGCAG